UCCAGGUGGCUCAGUGGUAAAGAAACUGCCUGCGAUGCAGGAGACCCAGGUUCAACCCCUGGGUCAGGAA
RNAcentral lists this transfer RNA (70 nucleotides) under Bos taurus (domestic cattle). It matches the Rfam family "tRNA". From Rfam's summary of the family: Transfer RNA (tRNA) molecules are approximately 80 nucleotides in length. Their secondary structure includes four short double-helical elements and three loops (D, anti-codon, and T loops). The record is from Rfam by way of RNAcentral. RNAcentral also lists the same sequence under 4 other names. Lineage: Eukaryota; Metazoa; Chordata; Mammalia; Artiodactyla; Bovidae.